AACCACUUCGCGUGGGGAUUACUGGCAAACGGGUGAGUAACACGUGGGCUAUCUGCCCUGCACUCUGGGACAAGCCCUGGCAAACGGGGUCUAAUACCGGAUACUGACCCUCCACAGGCAUCUGCUAGGUUCGAAAGCUCCGGCGGAUGCAGGAUGAGCCCCCGGUCUAUCAGCUUGUUGGUGACGUAAUGGCUCACCAAGGCGACGACGGGUAGCCGGCCUGAGAGGGCGAUCGGACACACUGGGACUGAGACACUGUCCAUACUCCUACGGGAGGCAUCAGUGGGGAAUAUUGCACAAUGGGCGAAAGCCUGAUGCAGCGACUCCGCGAUGAGGGAUGACGGCCUUCGGGUUGUAAACCUCUUUCACCAGGGAAGAAGCGAAAGUGACGGUACCUGGCAGAAUAACCGCCGGCUAACUACAUGCCAUCACCCCGCGGUUCAUACCUAACGGCCGCAACGCGCUUGUUCCGCGAACUUAUAGGGCCGUAAAUGAGCUGAUAAUGCUGAUUUAUUAAUUUUGGGUUUGUUAAAAUCCCGUUGUCUCCCCCCCCCUCUCUCUUACACUCUAAUGAAAGCCCGGGGCCUUAACCCCGGGAUCUGCAGUCGAUACGGGCAGGCUAGAGUUCGGUAGGGGAGAUCGGAAUUCCUGGGUGUAGCGGUGAAAUGCUCAAAUAUCAGGAGGAACACCGGUGGCAAAGGCGGAUCUCUGGGCCGAUACUGACGCUGAGGACCGAAAGCCUGGGGAGCGAACAGGAUUAAAUACCCUGGUUAUUCCACCCCGUAAACAGUGGGCACUAGGUGUGGGCAACAUUCCACGUUGUCCGUGCCGCAUCUAACGCAUUAAGUGCCCCGCCUGGGGAAUACGGCCGCAGGGCUAAAACUCAAAAGAAUUGACGGGGGCCCGCACAAGCGGCGGAACAUGUGGCUUAAUUCGACGCAACGCGAAGAACCUUACCAAGGCUUGACAUACACCGGAAAGCAUCAGAGAUGGUGCCCCCCUUGUGGUCGGUGUACAGGUGGUGCAUGGCUGUCGUCAGCUCGUGUCGUGAGAUGUUGGGUUAAGUCCCGCAAAGAGCGCAACCCUUGUCCCGUGUUGCCAGCAGGCCCUUGUGGUGUUGGGGAGUCACGGGAGACCGACCGGGGUCAAAUCGGAGGAAGGUGGGGAGGACGUCAAGUCAUCAUGCCCCUUAUGUCUUGGGCGGCACACGUGCUACAAUGGCCGGUACAAUGAGCUGCGAUACCGCAAGGUGGAGCGAAUUUCUUUAAGCCGGUCUCAGUUCGGAUGGGGGUCUGCAACUAGACCCCAUGAAGUCGGAGUCGUUAGUAAUCGCAGAUCAGCAUUGCUGCGGUGAAUACGUUCCCGGGCGUUGUACACACCGCCCGUCACGUCACGAAAGUCGGUAACACCCGAAGCCGGUGGCCCAACCCCCUUGUGGGAGGGAGCUGUCGAAGGUGGGAAUGGGCUGAUUGGGGCGAAGUCGUAAC
RNAcentral lists this ribosomal RNA (1487 nucleotides) under Streptomyces sp. KSS208S24. RNAcentral describes it as "16S ribosomal RNA". It matches the Rfam family "Bacterial small subunit ribosomal RNA". Lineage: Bacteria; Bacillati; Actinomycetota; Actinomycetes; Kitasatosporales; Streptomycetaceae. The record is from RNAcentral.